UAUUGAGUUCUUUGAAGCAAAGGAGAGUUGUUUGCAUGUCUCGCCUUUUUGUUGCCUUUGAAAGCUGGCAAUAGCAAUUUGUUAUUGCAAUGUGCUCGAGGCUUUUUAAGGGGGGUGAGGGGGCAAAUGGCAAUCUGCUUUUCAAAAUUGCUCAUAUCCUUUAACACCUGUGCACUAUAAGCAAAGUUUGUUCCCGCAAGUCAGCUAUAUUGUGAUUUGGACAUGUGUUUGUUAUGUGGAUCCCCUUAUCAAAAUAUUGACCAGCUUUGANGANAUAUUGAUUUAUCAAUUAUCCCAAAGCAAAAUGGGAAGUGUAGUGGUAUGGUGGUUUGUAAAUAUACAUAGUAUAUGUGUGCAUAUAUUCACAAAAGAUGACUCUAAAGGGGAAAAUGGCUUUGUCUUCAUCAUAUAAACACACUGCUGUAAUUUGUGUUGUAGAAUGANAAAUGGCUCAAUUGUGAGCAAAAAANUCAAUACAACUUUCAACAAUGGAUCUCUUGGCUCUCGCAUCGAUGAAGAACGCAGCGAAAUGCGAUAAGUAAUGUGAAUUGCAGAAUUCAGUGAAUCAUCGAAUCUUUGAACACACCUUGUGCUCCUUGGGUUACCUAUGGAGCAUGCCUGUUUGAGUGUCAUGUUGAUCUCAAUUCCCUUAGGCCUUUUUUUGAAAUUCAAAUGAAAGGCCUGUUCAGGGUUAUUGGAUUUGGAGGUUCAUGCAGGUCCCCUUUGUAAGGGAAUCAGCUCCUCUUAAAAAUAUUAGCUUUGGAGGAUGAAGCAAAAAGGGCUCAGCAUUGUUCAAUUGGCUUUUCAUGGUGUAAUAAUUGUUUCAUCAUGUACUAUAUACAGUGCACAGGAAAGUAAAGUAUUCCUGGGAGACUUUUUGUANCAUUUCUCUGCUUUCUAGUUUUGUCAGGUCUAUCUGGCAAUUCAUAUAUUCUUUUUGGCCUCAAAUCAGGUAGGACUACCCGCUGAACUUAAGCAUAUCAUUAAGCGGAGGAAAAGAAACUAAC
RNAcentral lists this ribosomal RNA (1007 nucleotides) under uncultured fungus. RNAcentral's name for it is "eukaryotic LSU rRNA". The stretch from base 478 to 632 matches the Rfam family "5.8S ribosomal RNA". Lineage: Eukaryota; Fungi. The record is from RNAcentral.